UGCACUGACUCUGAAAGCUCCAACAGGAAGGAGUUGCUCGUGACAGUUAAGCAUGCAGUUCCAGCAUGGUUCUAUGACACACAGGGGCUAACUCUCUCUUGCAUCAGUGUAACUCCGGGCAGCACCUAGAGAUCCCAAUGAAGAGCAAGGCCUGACUGAGCCAAGCGCUGUACAAAGAGAAGGAAAAAGACAAUCCAUGCUCUGAACAGUCUCAUCUAGUUAAAUACCGGAUCCAGUCGAGCCGGUAUAGAAGACGAGAGGGAGGCUGGUGAAAGGAAGACAAGAUGGGGAAACUGAAGCAGAGGUUAACACAACCUGAUGUUCAGAAACGCCAAGGACACAAUUAUAACGGAAGUCAAUGCGAACUGAUGCACUGACGUGCGCUUCCCCUCUAUACUGGCAAGCUGGCAGUAUAAAGGCAAAGAUAAUGACAGCAAAAUCGUGCAUGAGAUACUAUCAAAGACUAGAUCCUCCGAGAUGGGGAGGGACCCUUACCUGACAG
This is a long non-coding RNA of Mauremys reevesii (Reeves's turtle), 502 nucleotides long. RefSeq lists it as uncharacterized. NCBI's taxonomy places the organism in Eukaryota, Metazoa, Chordata, Testudines, Geoemydidae. The transcript is spliced from 4 exons. The record is from RefSeq and is a predicted model, not a curated record.